This is a non-coding RNA of Lonchura striata (white-rumped munia), 642 nucleotides long. The record is from RefSeq and is a predicted model, not a curated record. Lineage: Eukaryota; Metazoa; Chordata; Aves; Passeriformes; Estrildidae.
CCCCCGGUGCCGCCGGUGCCCCCGCCCCGCCCCGGGAGGAAGAACCGAAGGAGCUCCGAGUGGACGAUCCAGCGGAAGCUGCGGGAAUUCUUUGCCAUCCCGCGGUGCCUGGUCAGCGUGUUCAGCCUGUUCCUGGUGGAGCUGAUCCGCUUCCUUGGCGAGGCCGUGGUCCAGGCGCUGGUGGUCGGUGUCCUGACAGCCAUCGGCGACCACGUGCUGAAGCCCUUCCUGGCGGCGGCGUUUCACAGCCUGCUGCAGCCACUCCUGCUCUUCCUGCUGAAGGUGCUGGGUGGUGUCCGGGACCUGACGGAUCCUGUGCUGGACGUGGUGGCUCGGGUGUGCUCCCAGCUGGCCGUGCUGCUCCGCGCCGUCCGGCUGGUGGAGGUCCGCCUGCGCCCGGACCUGCGGGCUGGCCCUGGCGAUGGUGGCGGAUGAGGACAGCCGUGGGUGGCCAGAUAAGAUAAGGAAAAAGAAUUCCUGGGAAUUGCAGAAGAGCAGGACCAGCUGCGGCCCAGGAGACACCGUUGUCUCCACGUGUGUCCAGGCAGGGGGCAGCUCAUGGUGUGCUGGGAGGGCAGUUUGGAUCUUCUAGUUCUGCAAAUAUAUCCUUAACUUAAUUAAAUUCCAAUUUUAUCCAUUGUA